Molecule: transfer RNA, 119 nt
Filed under: Roseicella sp. DB1501
Lineage: Bacteria; Pseudomonadati; Pseudomonadota; Alphaproteobacteria; Acetobacterales; Roseomonadaceae
Description: tRNA-Arg
Source: RNAcentral
CCCGUAGCUCAGCUGGAUAGAGCGUUGCCCUCCGAAGGCAAAGCUAAGUCAAGUGGGUUGUGUGUGCGGAUUAGAAAAAGCGAGGGAAACCAAGCGAUUGGCGAACCUCGAAGGAACCA